Molecule: small nuclear RNA, 100 nt
Filed under: Amborella trichopoda
Lineage: Eukaryota; Viridiplantae; Streptophyta; Magnoliopsida; Amborellales; Amborellaceae
Source: RNAcentral
GUCUCUUUAGAGAUAUCCGAAAAAUUGGAAUGAUACAGAGAAGAUUAGCAUGGUCCCUGCGCAUGGAUGACACACAAAUCGAGAAAUGGUCCAAAUUUUU